CCCCAGCAUGGACUCGCACCUCAUCGCGGUGCUGGGGUCUAGUAGUCUGUGUUAUACAGGCGAAGCAAAGACGAGU
RNAcentral lists this non-coding RNA (76 nucleotides) under Aspergillus niger CBS 513.88. Lineage: Eukaryota; Fungi; Ascomycota; Eurotiomycetes; Eurotiales; Aspergillaceae. The record is from RNAcentral.